Molecule: regulatory RNA element, 98 nt
Rfam family: Purine riboswitch aptamer
About the family: Riboswitches are metabolite binding domains within certain messenger RNAs that serve as precision sensors for their corresponding targets.
Source: Rfam
UGUUAUCUUUAAAUAUAUACUUAUAUAUCGUCAUAAUAUGGGUGACAGUUUCUACCCAGGACCUUAAAUCUUGGACUAUAAGUAAUUAAGCAUAGUAU